Molecule: small RNA, 126 nt
Filed under: Marmota monax (woodchuck)
Lineage: Eukaryota; Metazoa; Chordata; Mammalia; Rodentia; Sciuridae
Source: RNAcentral
GCCGGGCAUGGUGGUGCAUGCCUGUAAUCCCAGCAACUUGGGAGGCUGAGGCAGGAGGAUUCAAGUUCAAAGCCAGACUCAACAAUUUAACAAGGCCCUAAGCAACUUAGUGAGACCCUGUCUCAA